Molecule: ribosomal RNA, 433 nt
Filed under: uncultured bacterium
Lineage: Bacteria
Description: partial 16S ribosomal RNA
Rfam family: Bacterial small subunit ribosomal RNA
Source: RNAcentral
AACGAACGCUGGCGGCAUGCCUAACACAUGCAAGUCGAACGAGACCUUCGGGUCUAGUGGCGCACGGGUGCGUAACGCGUGGGAACCUGCCCGUAGGUUCGGAAUAACUCCCCGAAAGGGGUGCUAAUACCGGUUAAUGUCUUCGGACCAACGAUUUAUCGCCUUUGGAUGGGCCCUCGUUGGUUUAGCCAGUUGGUAGGGUAAAAGCAUACCAUGGCGACGAUCCAUAGCUGGUCUGAGAGGAUGAUCCGCCAGGCUGGGACUGCGACACGGCCUAGACUCCUACGGGAGGGAGCAGUGGGGAAUAUUGGGCAAUGGGCGAAAGCCUGAUACAGCAAUGCCGGGUGAGUGAUGAAGGCCUUAGGGUUGUAAAGCUCUUUUACCCGGGAUGAUAAUGACAGUACCGGGUGAAUAAGCUCCGGCUAACUCCGUG